GACGAACGCUGGCGGCGUGCUUAACACAUGCAAGUCGAACGGAAAGGCCCUGCUUUUGUGGGGUGCUCGAGUGGCGAACGGGUGAGUAACACGUGAGUAACCUGCCCUUGACUUUGUGAUAACUUCAGGCAACUGGGGCUAAUACCGGAUAGGAGCUCCUGCUGCAUGGUGGGGGUUGGAAAGUUUCGGCGGUUGGGAUGGACUCGCGGCUUAUCAGCUUGUUGGUGGGGUAGUGGCAUACCAAGGCUUUGACGGGUAGCCGGCCUGAGAGGGUGACCGGCCACAUGGGGACUGAGAUACGGCGCAGACUCCUACGGGAGGCAGCAGUGGGGAAUAUUGCACAGUGGGGGGAAGCCUGAUGCGGCAACGCCGCGAGCGGAAAGACGUCCUACGGGUGGUAAACCGCUUUCGCCUGAGACGAAGCGGGAGUGACGUUAAUGAGUAAAGAAGCACCGGCUAACUACGUG
This 467-nucleotide ribosomal RNA is filed under the name uncultured bacterium. RNAcentral describes it as "partial 16S ribosomal RNA". It matches the Rfam family "Bacterial small subunit ribosomal RNA", at positions 28 to 507 of the family's 1533-position model. The record is from RNAcentral.